This 1495-nucleotide ribosomal RNA is filed under the name metagenome. RNAcentral's name for it is "bacterial SSU rRNA". It matches the Rfam family "Bacterial small subunit ribosomal RNA". The record is from RNAcentral.
AGAGUUUGAUCCUGGCUCAGAUUGAACGCUGGCGGCAUGCCUAACACAUGCAAGUCGAACGUGAAAGUCACUUUGGUGGCGAGUAGAGUGGCGGACGGGUGAGUAACGCGUAGGAAUCUGCCCAGUAGUGGGGGACAACUCGGGGAAACUCGAGCUAAUACCGCAUACGCCCUAUGGGGGAAAGUGGGGGAUUUUUGGACCUCACGCUAUUGGAUGAGCCUGCGUUGGAUUAGCUAGUUGGUAGGGUAAAGGCCUACCAAGGCGACGAUCCGUAGCUGGUCUGAGAGGACGGCCAGCCACACUGGGACUGAGAUAUGGCCCAGACUCCUACGGGAGGCAGCAGUGGGGAAUAUUGGAUAAUGGGCGUAAGCCUGAUCCAGCAAUGCCGCGUGUGUGAAGAAGGCCUGUGGGUUGUAAAGCACUUUCAAUUGGGAAGAAAUGCUUGAGGUUAAUACCCUCGAGUUUUGACGUUACCUUUAGAAGAAGCACCGGUUAACUCCGUGCCAGUAGUUGUGGUAAUACGGAGGGUGCAAGCGUUAAUCGGAAUUACUGGGCGUAAAGUGCGCGUAGGCGGCUCGGUUAGUCAGAUGUGAAAGUCCUGGGUUUAACCUGGGAACUGCAUUUGAUACUGCCGGAUUAGAGUGCAGUAGAGGGGGGUAGAAUUCCGGGUGUAGCGGUGAAAUGCGUAGAUAUCCGGAGGAAUACCAGUGGUGAAGGUGGCCCCCUGGACUGAUACUGACGCUGAGGUGCGAAAGCGUGGGGAGUAAACAGGAUUAGAUAUCCUGGUAGUCCACGCUGUAAAUGAUGUCAACUAGCCGUCGGGUCCAUUAAAAGGGCUUGGUGGCGCAGUUAAUGUGCUAAGUUGACCGCCUGGGGAGUAUGGCCGUAAGGUUAAAACUCAAAGGAAUUGACGGGGGCCCGCACAAGUGGUGGAGCAUGUGGUUUAAUUUGAUGCAAUGUGAAGAACCUUACCAGCCCUUGAUAUCCUCGGAAUUUGGCAGAGAUGUUUUGGUGCCUUUGGGAGUCGAGUGACAGGUGCUGUAUGGCUGUCGUCAGCUCGUGUUGCGAGAUGUUGGGUUAAGUCCCGUAACGAGCGUAACCCUUGUCCCUAGUUGCCAGUAUUUUGGGUGGGAACUUUAGGGAGACUGCCGGUGAUAAACCGGAGGAAGGUGGGGAUGACGUCAAGUCAUUAUGUCCCUUAUGGGCUGGGCUACACACGUGCUACAAUGGCCGGUAUAGAGGGUUGCAAACCCGUGAGGGGGAGCUAAUCCCAGAAAACCGGUCGUAGUCCGGAUUGCAGUCUGUAAUUUGACUGCAUGAAGUUGGAAUUGUUAGUAAUCGCAGAUUAGAAUGCUGCGGUGAAUACGUUCCCGGGCCUUGUAUAUAUUGCCCGUCACACCAUGGGAGUGGGUUGCAAAAGAAGUGGGUAGCUUAACCUUUGGGAGGGCGCUCACCACUUUGUGAUUCAUGACUGGGGUGAAGUUGUAAUAAGGUA